RNAcentral lists this ribosomal RNA (83 nucleotides) under Canarium album. RNAcentral describes it as "partial 5.8S ribosomal RNA". It matches the Rfam family "5.8S ribosomal RNA", at positions 73 to 153 of the family's 154-position model. From Rfam's summary of the family: 5.8S ribosomal RNA (5.8S rRNA) is a component of the large subunit of the eukaryotic ribosome. It is transcribed by RNA polymerase I as part of the 45S precursor that also contains 18S and 28S rRNA. Functionally, it is thought that 5.8S rRNA may be involved in ribosome translocation. RNAcentral also lists the same sequence under 1 other name. Lineage: Eukaryota; Viridiplantae; Streptophyta; Magnoliopsida; Sapindales; Burseraceae. The record is from RNAcentral.
UGCAGAAUCCCGUGAACCAUCGAGUCUUUGAACGCAAGUUGCGCCCCAAGCCAUUAGGCCGAGGGCACGUCUGCCUGGGUGUC